Long non-coding RNA from Numida meleagris (helmeted guineafowl), 264 nucleotides. RefSeq lists it as uncharacterized. The transcript is spliced from 3 exons. NCBI's taxonomy places the organism in Eukaryota, Metazoa, Chordata, Aves, Galliformes, Numididae. The record is from RefSeq and is a predicted model, not a curated record.
UGAUGCUUCAUAAGUGGUUCUCUUUCCUCCUCCACCCCUUCCUUGCAGCUAUUUCCUGGUGGAGCUCAGGAAGAUGCUGGCUUCCUUCUAUGUGUGAGCACACCCGAGCUGUAGGACACCGUGGGCUCCUGCUGCAACAUCGUGGAAAGCACUGUUCAGUGCACCAUAGAGCAAGAGAUCAAAGCAAGGAGGAGGCUGGAUUCUUGUGGCAGUGAUGGUUUUUUGAGUGAUGGUCUCACUGAAACCUCUUACAGAAAAAAAAGA